UAAGGAAUAUUGGUCAAUGGGCGGAAGCCUGAACCAGCCACGCCGCGUGCAGGAAGACGGCCCUACGGGUUGUAAACUGCUUUUGUUUGGGAAGAAAUCCCUUUUGCGAAAGGGUCUGACGGUACCAGACGAAUAAGCACCGGCUAACUCCGUGCCAGCAGCCGCGGUAAUACGGAGGGUGCAAGCGUUAUCCGGAUUUAUUGGGUUUAAAGGGUGCGUAGGCGGCCUGUUAAGUCAGUGGUGAAAGUCGGCAGCUCAACUGUCGAAUUGCCUUUGAUAUAGGCAGGCUUGAAUGAAGUUGAAGAGGGCGGAAUGUGACAUGUAGCGGUGAAAUGCAUAGAUAUGUCACAGAACACCGAUUGCGAAGGCAGCUCUCUAAGCUUGAAUUGACGCUGAUGCACGAAAGCGUGGGGAUCAAACA
This 421-nucleotide ribosomal RNA is filed under the name uncultured bacterium. RNAcentral's name for it is "bacterial SSU rRNA". It matches the Rfam family "Bacterial small subunit ribosomal RNA", at positions 355 to 774 of the family's 1533-position model. The record is from RNAcentral.